RNAcentral lists this ribosomal RNA (428 nucleotides) under uncultured prokaryote. RNAcentral describes it as "bacterial SSU rRNA". It matches the Rfam family "Bacterial small subunit ribosomal RNA", at positions 355 to 774 of the family's 1533-position model. The record is from RNAcentral.
UGGGGAAUCUUCCGCAAUGGGCGAAAGCCUGACGGAGCAACGCCGCGUGAAUGAAGAAGGCCUUCGGGUCGUAAAGUUCUGUCUUUGGAGACGAACAUUCUAUAUGUAAAUAAUGUAUAGAACUGACGGUAUCCAAGGAGGAAGCUCCGGCUAACUACGUGCCAGCAGCCGCGGUAAUACGUAGGGAGCGAGCGUUGUCCGGAAUUACUGGGCGUAAAGGGCGCGUAGGCGGGUAUUUAAGUCAGAUGUGAAAACUCCGGGCUCAACCUGGAGACUGCAUUUGAAACUGAGUAUCUUGAGGGCAGGAGAGGAAAGUGGAAUUCCUAGUGUAGCGGUGAAAUGCGUAGAUAUUAGGAGGAACACCAGUGGCGAAGGCGACUUUCUGGACUGUACCUGACGCUGAGGCGCGAAAGCGUGGGGAGCGAACG